UGCUUCAUUGCUAAAGAGAUAUUAUCAGCUCAUCAUCCAACUGGGGAAUCUGCUGCGCAGUUAAAUCAUGCUUAAACUCCUGACGCGAAACAAUGUAACCAAAUCUAUUAUAUCUGGGAUAGCUGCGGCUGCUAAACAAGAUGCAACAGAAGAUCUGUUCGUGUAUCUAUAAAACUUUAUUCAGGCACUCUACGAUUUGACUGGCGAAAGACAACGUUGAUUCACAAAGAAAACAGACACUAUUUUUUAAUGUAUACUGUGUUCAAUUAUAGUUUCGGUUAUGGAGGAUAUUUUAUGAUCUUUUGAAGCUGCGUGUUUCUGACUUGGCGUUGUUCCUUUUAUAAUGGGAUGGGGGGCCACAAUAUUUCAUUAUGAAAACUGGUGCGAGAGGGACCAUUUUUCGCGUGACAUUUGUCUUUCGUGUAAUAUUUGGACACACAGAGAUACUCUUCCAAACUCUCCAGUCUCUGGAUCUCAGGAAAUCGUUUGAUCGACUCGACAGUCCCCUACAUGCACUGAAGCAACUCGGGGAAGAUGCCAAGUUUGAGGGAUUUUAUGAAGAAACUGUACAGCUCCGAGGCCAUGGAGAGGAACGCAAACGAGAAAGACUCCGCCGUGGCUGGGAUGAUUAUGAACAAGGGUUCAGCUGCUUUAAUGAUGACACUUUCUAAGCAGCGGUUCUCAAGCUAUGGGGCUUGGCAAGGGGUGCGUUAAGUGCGUGCGCGGCUCAGAGCGGCUCAGUAAAGAAUCAGCUUCACGACUCGCUCGGUUCCGCUCCCGCUGAGCCGCUCAGAGCCGAUCCUGAGCAUUUCUCAUCAGGGAUCAGAGGGAGCGGACGGAAUGGACACCUGCAGGAAACAAGUGGAGAUGACAGGCAGGAUUGACAAAUACGAUGAACUGGUUUCGACUUAUGAAGUUAUGUAUUCAUUGGCUAAAUAAGAUGCAGAUUGCUCUGCACAAGACCCUGUUGCUGUCUCUGGCUCAGCUGGGGGGAGAGCAGUGCUGCCCUGUUCUUACACCCCCACCCCUGGGCAGGAUGUAGAAGUCAGAUGGCAUGCAUAUCCAGAUCAGGGAGAAGCUGUUCCAUUAAUCAACUCAAAGACCCCCUCAGCACCCAUCCCUGCGCAGUGGAGCGGCCGAGUGAAGCUGUCUGAUGAAGUCUCCUCUGGAAACGCCUCUCUGCUAAUCUCUGAGCUCAGACUGGAGGACACUCUGCAUUACCUGUGUGACGUGUGGAUCAAUGGGAUAUGUGUCACUUACAGGAAUGUUAAACUGACAGUUCAAGCUUGCCCUCCACUAGACCGUGUUGCUGUCUCUGGCUCAGCUGGGGGGAGAGCAGUGCUGCCCUGUUCUUACACCCCCACCCCUGGGCAGCAUGUAGAAGUCAGAUGGUAUGCAUAUUCAGAUCAGGGAGAAGCUGUUCUAUUAAUCAACUCAAAGACUCCCUCAGCACCCAUCCCUGCGCAGUGGAGCGGCCGAGUGAAGCUGUCUGAUGAAGUCUCCUCUGGAAACGGCUCUCUGCUAAUCUCUGAGCUCAGACUGCAGGACACUCGGGAUUACAUAUGUAUAGUGUGGAUCAAUAGGAUAUGUGUCACUAACAGGAAUGUUAAACUGACAGUUCAAGGACCUCCAAAGAGAGAUUCAACUACUUCAAGAACAACAACGACCACAACCCCGACAACUAGACCAUCAGCAACCCCGACAACUAGACCAUCAGCAACCCCGACAACUAGACCAUCAGCAACCCAGGAAACCAGCCCAUGCCCAACCCAGCAGGGGAAUGCAGCAGCACAGAGGAGAUCGUUCUGCAUGAAACCGCUUUGAUAACUGGAUUCUAAUUGGAUUGCAUGUACCUGUAUUUAGUGAGUGUUGUGAGUUAAGCGGAAGUUCAAUUAUUCCUGUGUGUUGCUGCUGCUGGUUCCCUAUGCCAGUAUAGUCCAUUGUGAAAGAGUAUUGCUGUUACUGUAACCCGCUGCAUCCUGCCUGUGCCUGCAUCUCUUCAUUUCUAUAUCAUUUUAAUAAGAGCGUUUUAGCAUUUUGAUAUAUUUCAUUUUCUAUUCAUCACUGAUUGCUGUUGCUUUAUUUGUUAAUAAAGUAGUUGGUGCUGUUUACUAUAGAUCAUUGUUACAUACAGUUCUAAAUUCUUUUUAGGAAUAUUAUGUAUAAAAUGCAUUAGAGAAAAAGCUUCUACUUGGUCUUGCAAAUUAAAAACAGUGAAUUACUAAAUGUUAAUUGCACAUUGAAAUGUGUUAUUGCUUUUCCUUUUUUGCUUAUGAAUAAUAAAAUAUUUAGCUGUG
Molecule: RNA transcript, 2297 nt
Organism: Acipenser ruthenus (sterlet)
Lineage: Eukaryota; Metazoa; Chordata; Actinopteri; Acipenseriformes; Acipenseridae
Exons: 4
Source: RefSeq, a predicted model, not a curated record